Molecule: ribosomal RNA, 424 nt
Filed under: uncultured Bacteroides sp.
Lineage: Bacteria; Pseudomonadati; Bacteroidota; Bacteroidia; Bacteroidales; Bacteroidaceae
Description: bacterial SSU rRNA
Rfam family: Bacterial small subunit ribosomal RNA
Source: RNAcentral
CCUACGGGAGGCAGCAGUGGGGAAUAUUGCACAAUGGGGGAAACCCUGAUGCAGCGACGCCGCGUGAAGGAAGAAGUAUUUCGGUAUGUAAACUUCUAUCAGCAGGGAAGAAAAUGACGGUACCUGACUAAGAAGCCCCGGCUAACUACGUGCCAGCAGCCGCGGUAAUACGUAGGGGGCAAGCGUUAUCCGGAUUUACUGGGUGUAAAGGGAGCGUAGGCGGUCUGACAAGUCAGAAGUGAAAGCCCGGGGCUCAACUCCGGGACUGCUUUUGAAACUGCCGGACUAGAUUGCAGGAGAGGUAAGUGGAAUUCCUAGUGUAGCGGUGAAAUGCGUAGAUAUUAGGAGGAACACCAGUGGCGAAGGCGGCUUACUGGACUGUAAAUGACGCUGAGGCUCGAAAGCGUGGGGAGCAAACAGGAUU